This 484-nucleotide ribosomal RNA is filed under the name uncultured bacterium. RNAcentral's name for it is "partial 16S ribosomal RNA". It matches the Rfam family "Bacterial small subunit ribosomal RNA", at positions 29 to 523 of the family's 1533-position model. The record is from RNAcentral.
AGUGAACGCUGGCGGCGUGCUUAACACAUGCAAGUCGAACGAGAACGGGUUAUAGCUUGCUAUAAUUGUCAGCUAAGUGGCGCACGGGUGAGUAAUGUAUAGGUAAUAUGCCUCUUACUAAGGGAUAACAAAUGGAAACGUUUGCUAAUACCUUAUACUCCUUAUUAACAGAAGUUAAUAAGGGAAAGAUUUAUUGGUAAGAGAUUAGCCUGUAUUGUAUCAGUUAGUUGGUGAGGUAAUGGCUUACCAAGACUAUGACACAUAACUGGUUUGAGAGGAUGAUCAGUCACACUGGAACUGAGACACGGUCCAGACUCCUACGGGAGGCAGCAGUGGGGAAUAUUGCACAAUGGACGAAAGUCUGAUGCAGCAACGCCGCGUGGAGGAUGACACAUUUCGGUGCGUAAACUCCUUUUAUAUAAGAAGAUAAUGACGGUAUUAUAUGAAUAAGCACCGGCUAACUCCGUGCCAGCCGCCGCGGUAA